GACGAACGCUGGCGGCGUGCUUAACACAUGCAAGUCGAACGGAAAGGCCCUGCUUUUGUGGGGUGCUCGAGUGGCGAACGGGUGAGUAACACGUGAGUAACCUGCCCUUGACUUUGGGAUAACUUCAGGAAACUGGGGCUAAUACCGGAUAGGAGCUCCUGCUGCAUGGUGGGGGUUGGAAAGUUUCGGCGGUUGGGGAUGGACUCGCGGCUUAUCAGCUUGUUGGUGGGGUAGUGGCUUACCAAGGCUUUGACGGGUAGCCGGCCUGAGAGGGUGACCGGGCACAUUGGGACUGAGAGACGGCCCAGACGCGUACGGGAGGCAGCAGUGGGGAAUAUUGCACAAGGGGCGGAAGCCUGAUGCAGCAACGCCGCGUGCGGGAUGACGGCCUUCGGGUUGUAAACCGCUUUCGCCUGUGACGAAGCGUGAGUGACGGUAAUGGGUAAAGAAGCACCGGCUAACUACGUG
This 468-nucleotide ribosomal RNA is filed under the name uncultured bacterium. RNAcentral's name for it is "partial 16S ribosomal RNA". It matches the Rfam family "Bacterial small subunit ribosomal RNA", at positions 28 to 507 of the family's 1533-position model. The record is from RNAcentral.